UUUUCCAUUUAUUUGCUACUCUCAGCUCUCAAUGAUAUGAGAUAAAGUUAGUUUUACACAUGGGAUAAAACAAAACUGGAUCAUUGUAAAUUGAGACAAAAUAUUUUGAUCUUCAUGGUCUAAACAUCC
Molecule: small nucleolar RNA, 129 nt
Organism: Nannospalax galili (Upper Galilee mountains blind mole rat)
Lineage: Eukaryota; Metazoa; Chordata; Mammalia; Rodentia; Spalacidae
Product: small nucleolar RNA SNORA20
Exons: 1
Source: RefSeq, a predicted model, not a curated record